AGGACGAGCGCCGGCGGCGUGCUUAACACAUGCAAGUCGAGCGGAAAGGCCUUUCGGGGUACUCGAGCGGCGAACGGGUGAGUAACACGUGAGUAAGUCUGCCCCAUCGCUUCAGGAUAGCCAUCGGAAACGGUGAUUAAUACUGGAUAUGACAUUCCUUCGCAUGUUGGGGUGUGGAAAGUUUUUUCGGCGGUGGAUGUGCUCGCGGCCUAUCAGCUUGUUGGUGGGUAAUGGCCUACAAGCUUUGACGGGUAGCCGGCCUGAGAGGGUGACCGGCCACACGUGGGACUGACGACACGGCCCAGACUCCGUACGGGAGCAGCAGUGGGAUAGUGGACAGUGGGCGAAGCCUGAUCCGAGCAACGCCGCGUGAGGA
This 376-nucleotide ribosomal RNA is filed under the name uncultured soil bacterium. Its description in RNAcentral is "bacterial SSU rRNA". It matches the Rfam family "Bacterial small subunit ribosomal RNA", at positions 26 to 407 of the family's 1533-position model. The record is from RNAcentral.